AGCAGCCGCGGUAAUUCCAGCUCCAAUAGCGUAUAUUAAAGUUGUUGCAGUUAAAAAGCUCGUAGUUGAAUUUCGGGAUCAGCAGGUCGGUCGUGCCACUGGUAUGCACUGGCCUUGCUGAUUCCUCCCUCUUGAUGAGCCGUAAUGCCAUUAAUUUGGUGUUGCGGGGAAUCAGGACUGUUACUUUGAAAAAAUUAGAGUGUUUAAAGCAGGCAUGCGCUUGAAUACAUUAGCAUGGAAUAAUGAAAUAGGACGUUCGAUCCUAUUUUGUUGGUUUCUAGGAUUGACGUAAUGAUUAAUAGGGAUAGUUGGGGGCAUUAGUAUUCAAUUGUCAGAGGUGAAAUUCUUGGAUUUAUUGAAGACUAACUGCUGCGAAAGCAUUUGCCAAGGAUGUUUUCAUUAAUCAAGAACGAAAGUUAGGGGAUCGAAGACGAUCAGAUACCGUCGUAGUCUUAACCAUAAACUAUGCCGACUAGGGAUCGGAUGAUGUUAAUUUUUUAAUGACUCAUUCGGCGCCUUA
Molecule: ribosomal RNA, 520 nt
Filed under: uncultured Glomus
Lineage: Eukaryota; Fungi; Glomeromycota; Glomeromycetes; Glomerales; Glomeraceae
Description: SSU rRNA
Rfam family: Eukaryotic small subunit ribosomal RNA
Source: RNAcentral